AUUGAACGCUGGCGGCAUGCUUUACACAUGCAAGUCGAACGGUAACAGGCCGCAAGGUGCUGACGAGUGGCGAACGGGUGAGUAAUGCAUCGGAACGUGCCCAGUCGUGGGGGAUAACUACUCGAAAGAGUAGCUAAUACCGCAUACGAUCUAUGGAUGAAAGCGGGGGACCGUAAGGCCUCGCGCGAUUGGAGCGGCCGAUGUCAGAUUAGGUAGUUGGUGGGGUAAAGGCUCACCAAGCCAACGAUCUGUAGCUGGUCUGAGAGGACGACCAGCCACACUGGGACUGAGCCACGGCCCAGACUCCUACGGGAGGCAGCAGUGGGGAAUUUUGGACAAUGGGCGCAAGCCUGAUCCAGCAAUGCCGCGUGCAGGAAGAAGGCCUUCGGGUUGUAAACUGCUUUUGUACGGAACGAAACGGCUCUGGUUAAUACCCGGGGCUAAUGACGGUACCGUAAUAAUAAGCACCGGCUAACUACGUG
RNAcentral lists this ribosomal RNA (482 nucleotides) under uncultured bacterium. RNAcentral describes it as "partial 16S ribosomal RNA". It matches the Rfam family "Bacterial small subunit ribosomal RNA", at positions 30 to 507 of the family's 1533-position model. The record is from RNAcentral.